This 253-nucleotide ribosomal RNA is filed under the name uncultured bacterium. RNAcentral describes it as "partial 16S ribosomal RNA". It matches the Rfam family "Bacterial small subunit ribosomal RNA", at positions 524 to 776 of the family's 1533-position model. The record is from RNAcentral.
UACAUAGGCCUCGAGCGUUAGGCGGAAUCACUGGGCUUAAAGCGUGUGUAGGCGGAUGCCUAAGUACCUUGUGAAAUCCCACGGCUCACCCGUGGAACGGCUGGGUAUACUGGGUGUCUUGAGCCACUUAGGGGCUGCCGGAACAAAUGGUGGAGCGGUGAAAUGCGUAGAUAUCAUUGGGAACGCCAAUGGUGAAAACAGGCAGCUGGGAGUGUGCUGGCGCUGAGACACGAAAGCCAGGGGAGCGAACGGG